CGUCCGCGCCCGUGCGGGGGUCCCGGCGGGGCGUGCGCGUCCGGCGCCGUCCGUCCGUCCGUUCGUCUUCCUGCCUCCUCCCGUCCUCUCCCGCCGACCACGGGCGGUGGUGGGGGGGGGGGCGCGCGUCCCCGGUCGGCGCGCCCCGCUUCUCCGGUUCCCCCCUCCUCCCCGUUCACCGCCGGGGCGGCUCGUCCGCUCCGGGCCGGGACGGGGCCCGGGGAGCGCGGGUGGGAACCGCGGAGGCGGCCGAGCCGGGCCCCGUGGCCCGCCGGCCCCCCGUCCCGGGGGGUGGCCGCGCG
This 302-nucleotide unclassified non-coding RNA is filed under the name Gorilla gorilla (western gorilla). Its description in RNAcentral is "external transcribed spacer". Lineage: Eukaryota; Metazoa; Chordata; Mammalia; Primates; Hominidae. The record is from RNAcentral.